This 346-nucleotide ribosomal RNA is filed under the name uncultured Geobacteraceae bacterium. RNAcentral describes it as "bacterial SSU rRNA". It matches the Rfam family "Bacterial small subunit ribosomal RNA", at positions 486 to 831 of the family's 1533-position model. Lineage: Bacteria; Pseudomonadati; Thermodesulfobacteriota; Desulfuromonadia; Geobacterales; Geobacteraceae. The record is from RNAcentral.
GGAAGCACCGGCUAACUCCGUGCCAGCAGCCGCGGUAAUACGGAGGGUGCAAGCGUUGUUCGGAUUUAUUGGGCGUAAAGCGCGUGUAGGCGGUUUUUUAAGUCUGACGUGAAAGCCCUGGGCUCAACCCAGGAAGUGCAUUGGAUACUGGCAGACUUGAAUACGGGAGAGGGUAGUGGAAUUCCUGGUGUAGGAGUGAAAUCCGUAGUUAUCAGGAGGAACACCGGUGGCGAAGGCGGCUACCUGGACCGAUAUUGACGCUGAGACGCGAAAGCGUGGGUAGCAAACAGGAUUAGAUACCCUGGUAGUCCACGCCGUAAACGAUGAGAACUAGGUGUCGCGGGUA